Molecule: ribosomal RNA, 253 nt
Filed under: uncultured bacterium
Lineage: Bacteria
Description: partial 16S ribosomal RNA
Rfam family: Bacterial small subunit ribosomal RNA
Source: RNAcentral
UACAGAGGUCCCAAGCGUUGUUCGGAUUCACUGGGCGUAAAGGGUGCGUAGGCGGUCGGGUAAGUCUGAUGUGAAAUCUCACAGCUUAACUGUGAAACUGCAUUGGAUACUAUCCGGCUCGAGGAAUGGAGGGGAGACUGGAAUACUUGGUGUAGCAGUGAAAUGCGUAGAUAUCAAGUGGAACACCAGUGGCGAAGGCGGCGUUCUGGACUGCAACUGACACUGAGGAACGAAAGCCAGGGGAGCAAACGGG